RNAcentral lists this long non-coding RNA (289 nucleotides) under Linum usitatissimum (flax). Its description in RNAcentral is "long non-coding RNA (LUSI_LNC000873)". The record is from RNAcentral. Lineage: Eukaryota; Viridiplantae; Streptophyta; Magnoliopsida; Malpighiales; Linaceae.
UCAUUCGUAAGAGGUUUGGAAGUCUUGAAUCCAUCGGCGAUAUCAUCACCAAGAGAAUACUCGCUACUCUGACCUGCUAUAAAAUGUUCUUCAUUUCUCUUUUCAAUGACUACAGAAUUAUCAGGCCUUAAUUGAGGCAUUAGGUGGCCAGCAACUUUUCCAUCUGUUCUCGUUGGAACCACAGUGCUGGAAGCUGCCAUUUCUUUCCCCAUAUACGAAGAGAAUUCAGCAUUUGUCACUAAAGAACCCUUCGGAUUAGCCUGCGUGCUACCUGCUUUAGUAAUCUUAU